AGUGAAUAGAACCGGGUAGUCCUAGCCGUAAACGAUACUCGCUAGGUGUCGGCCACGGUGCGACCGUUGUCGGUGCCGUAGGGAAAGCCGUGAAGCGAGCCACCUGGGAAGUACGGCCGCAAGGCUGAAACUUAAAGGAAUUGGCGGGGGAGCACCACAACGGGUGGAGCUUGCGGUUUAAUUGGAUUCAACGCCGGAAAUCUUACCGGGACCGACAGCGAUAUGAAGGCCAGGCUGAAGACUUUGCCGGAUUAGCUGAGAGGUGGUGCAUGGCCGUCGUCAGUUCGUACUGUGAAAGCAUCCUGUUAAGUCAGGCAACGAGCGAGACCCACGCCCACAGUUGCCAGCGUACUCUCCGGAGUGACGGGUACACUGUGGGGACCGCCGCUGCUAAAGCGGAGGAAGGAAUGGGCAACGGUAGGUCAGUAUGCCCCGAAUAUCCCGGGCUACACGCGAGCUACAAUGGUUGGAACAAUGGGUAUCUACCCCGAAAGGGGAUGGAAAUCUCCUAAAUCCAAUCUUAGUUCGGAUUGAGGGCUGCAACUCGCCCUC
This 552-nucleotide ribosomal RNA is filed under the name uncultured bacterium. RNAcentral's name for it is "bacterial SSU rRNA". It matches the Rfam family "Archaeal small subunit ribosomal RNA", at positions 726 to 1275 of the family's 1478-position model. The record is from RNAcentral.